Molecule: non-coding RNA, 27 nt
Filed under: Homo sapiens (human)
Lineage: Eukaryota; Metazoa; Chordata; Mammalia; Primates; Hominidae
Source: RNAcentral
ACGACACUGAUUUGCCCAGUGAUUGCC